This 119-nucleotide ribosomal RNA is filed under the name Triticum aestivum (bread wheat). Lineage: Eukaryota; Viridiplantae; Streptophyta; Magnoliopsida; Poales; Poaceae. The record is from RNAcentral. RNAcentral also lists the same sequence under 1 other name.
GGAUGCGAUCAUACCAGCACUAAAGCACCGGAUCCCAUUAGAACUCCGAAGUUAAGCGUGCUUGGGCGAUAGUAGUACUAGGAUGGGUGACCUCCUGGGAAGUCCUCGUGUUGCAUUCC